Molecule: ribosomal RNA, 253 nt
Filed under: uncultured bacterium
Lineage: Bacteria
Description: partial 16S ribosomal RNA
Rfam family: Bacterial small subunit ribosomal RNA
Source: RNAcentral
UACAGAGGGGGCAAGCGUUGUUCGGAAUUACUGGGCGUAAAGCGUGCGCAGGCGGUUCGCUGUGUCCGAUGUGAAAGCCCCGGGCUUAACCUGGGAAUGGCAUUGGAAACUGGCGGGCUUGAGUGUGGCAGAGGGGGGUGGAAUUCCGCGUGUAGCAGUGAAAUGCGUAGAUAUGCGGAGGAACACCGAUGGCGAAGGCAAUCCCCUGGGCCUGCACUGACGCUCAUGCACGAAAGCGUGGGGAGCAAACAGG